GGCAUUUUAGUUAAAUGGUAUAAUAUGUGUUUCGUAAACAUAAGUUACGAGUUCGAUUCUCGUAAGUGCCU
RNAcentral lists this transfer RNA (71 nucleotides) under Hepatospora eriocheir. It matches the Rfam family "tRNA". From Rfam's summary of the family: Transfer RNA (tRNA) molecules are approximately 80 nucleotides in length. Their secondary structure includes four short double-helical elements and three loops (D, anti-codon, and T loops). Further hydrogen bonds mediate the characteristic L-shaped molecular structure. tRNAs have two regions of fundamental functional importance: the anti-codon, which is responsible for specific mRNA codon recognition, and the 3' end, to which the tRNAs corresponding amino acid is attached (by aminoacyl-tRNA synthetases). tRNAs cope with the degeneracy of the genetic code in two manners: having more than one tRNA (with a specific anti-codon) for a particular amino acid; and 'wobble' base-pairing, i.e. permitting non-standard base-pairing at the 3rd anti-codon position. The record is from Rfam by way of RNAcentral. Lineage: Eukaryota; Fungi; Microsporidia; Hepatosporidae.